Small nuclear RNA from Pipistrellus kuhlii (Kuhl's pipistrelle), 140 nucleotides. RefSeq annotates it as U12 minor spliceosomal RNA. The transcript has a single exon. The record is from RefSeq and is a predicted model, not a curated record. NCBI's taxonomy places the organism in Eukaryota, Metazoa, Chordata, Mammalia, Chiroptera, Vespertilionidae.
CUGCUCACCCCUCAAAAUAACGAUUUGGGGUGAUGCCCCAAUCCUCACUGCUAACGUGAGAUAAAUUUUUGAGCAGGCGAAGGUUACCCCUAAGGUGACAAGCCUACUUUGCGGAAUGCCUGGGUGUUGCGAUCUGCCUG